This 253-nucleotide ribosomal RNA is filed under the name uncultured bacterium. Its description in RNAcentral is "partial 16S ribosomal RNA". It matches the Rfam family "Bacterial small subunit ribosomal RNA", at positions 524 to 776 of the family's 1533-position model. The record is from RNAcentral.
UACGUAGGGUGCAAGCGUUAAUCGGAAUUACUGGGCGUAAAGCGUGCGCAGGCGGUUUUGUAAGUUUGUCGUGAAAUCCCCGGGCUCAACCUGGGAAUGGCGAUGAAGACUGCAAGGCUAGAAUCUGGCAGAGGGGGGUAGAAUUCCACGUGUAGCAGUGAAAUGCGUAGAGAUGUGGAGGAAUACCGAUGGCGAAGGCAGCCUCCUGGGCCAACACUGACGCUCAUGCACGAAAGCGUGGGGAGCAAACAGG